RNAcentral lists this ribosomal RNA (253 nucleotides) under uncultured bacterium. RNAcentral describes it as "partial 16S ribosomal RNA". It matches the Rfam family "Bacterial small subunit ribosomal RNA", at positions 524 to 776 of the family's 1533-position model. The record is from RNAcentral.
UACGUAGGGUCCGAGCGUUGUCCGGAAUUAUUGGGCGUAAAGAGCUCGUAGGCGGUUUGUCGCGUCUGCUGUGAAAUCCCGAGGCUUAACCUCGGGCCUGCGGUGGAUACGGGCAGACUAGAGGUAGGUAGGGGAGAAUGGAAUUCCCGGUGUAGCGGUGAAAUGCGCAGAUAUCGGGAGGAACACCGGUGGCGAAGGCGGUUCUCUGGGCCUUACCUGACGCUGAGGAGCGAAAGCGUGGGGAGCGAACAGG